This 493-nucleotide ribosomal RNA is filed under the name uncultured bacterium. RNAcentral describes it as "partial 16S ribosomal RNA". It matches the Rfam family "Bacterial small subunit ribosomal RNA", at positions 29 to 507 of the family's 1533-position model. The record is from RNAcentral.
ACGCACGCUGGCGGCGUGCUUAACACAUGCAAGUCGAACGGAAAGGCCUGCUUUCCCUUGUGGAUUGCGGGUACUCGAGUGGCGAACGGGUGAGUAACACGUGAGUGAUCUGCCCCCAACUUGGGUAUAAGCCUGGGAAACUGGGUCUAAUUCCCGAUAGGACUGCAGGGUGGUGCCUGUGGUGGAAAACGAUUUUCUAGUGGUUGGGGGUGAGCUCGCGGCCUAUCAGCUUGUUGGUGGGGUAAUGGCCUACCAAGGCGGCGACGGGUAGCCGGCCUGAGAGGGUGGACGGCCACAUUGGGACUGAGAUACGGCCCAGACUCCUACGGGAGGCAGCAGUGGGGAAUAUUGCACAAUGGGCGGAAGCCUGAUGCAGCGACGCCGCGUGGGGGAUGACGGCCUUCGGGUUGUAAACUCCUUUCGACCGCGAGGAAGCCACCUGGUUGGAAGGGUGGUGACGGUAGUGGUAGAAGAAGCACCGGCUAACUACGUG